UAGCUCAGUGGUAGAGCACAUGCUUGGCAUGCACGAGGUCCUGGGUUCAAUCCUCAG
This 57-nucleotide transfer RNA is filed under the name Camelus dromedarius (Arabian camel). It matches the Rfam family "tRNA", at positions 8 to 63 of the family's 71-position model. Rfam says of the family: Transfer RNA (tRNA) molecules are approximately 80 nucleotides in length. Their secondary structure includes four short double-helical elements and three loops (D, anti-codon, and T loops). Further hydrogen bonds mediate the characteristic L-shaped molecular structure. tRNAs have two regions of fundamental functional importance: the anti-codon, which is responsible for specific mRNA codon recognition, and the 3' end, to which the tRNAs corresponding amino acid is attached (by aminoacyl-tRNA synthetases). tRNAs cope with the degeneracy of the genetic code in two manners: having more than one tRNA (with a specific anti-codon) for a particular amino acid; and 'wobble' base-pairing, i.e. permitting non-standard base-pairing at the 3rd anti-codon position. The record is from Rfam by way of RNAcentral. RNAcentral also lists the same sequence under 1 other name. Lineage: Eukaryota; Metazoa; Chordata; Mammalia; Artiodactyla; Camelidae.